Molecule: ribosomal RNA, 400 nt
Filed under: uncultured bacterium
Lineage: Bacteria
Description: bacterial SSU rRNA
Rfam family: Bacterial small subunit ribosomal RNA
Source: RNAcentral
GAAUCUUAGACAAUGGGGGCAACCCUGAUCUAGCCAUGCCGCGUGAGUGACGAAGGCCCUAGGGUCGUAAAGCUCUUCCGCUGGGGAAGAUAAUGACUGUACCCAGUACAGAAGUCCCGGCUAACUCCGUGCCAGCAGCCGCGGUAAUCCGGAGGGGACUAGCGUUGUUCGGAAUUACUGGGCGUAAAGCGCACGUAGGCGGACCGAAAAGUCAGAGGUGAAAUCCCAGGGCUCAACCUUGGAGCUGCCUUUGAAACUGCCGGUCUAGAGUUCGAGAGAGGUGAGUGGAAUUCCGAGUGUAGAGGUGAAAUUCGUAGAUAUUCGGAGGAACACCAGUGGCGAAGGCGGCUCACUGGCUCGAUACUGACGCUGAGGUGCGAAAGCGUGGGGAGCAAACAGG